RNAcentral lists this ribosomal RNA (473 nucleotides) under uncultured bacterium. RNAcentral describes it as "bacterial SSU rRNA". It matches the Rfam family "Bacterial small subunit ribosomal RNA", at positions 8 to 526 of the family's 1533-position model. The record is from RNAcentral.
AGGGUUUGAUCAUGGCUCAGAACGUACGCUGGCGGCACGCCUAACACAUGCAAGUCGAACGAAGUAGCAAUACUUAGUGGCAGACGGGUGAGUAACAUGUAGGUAUCUGCCCUUUGGCCUGGAAUAACACGAGGAAACUUGUGCUAAUACCGGAUAAGUCUUUACGGAGAAAGCUUUAUGCACCAUUGGAUGAGCCUGCACUUGAUUAGUUUGUUGGUAGGGUAAUGGCCUACCAAGACUGUGAUCAAUAGCUGAUUUGAGAGGAUGAUCAGCCACAUUGGGACUGAGACACGGCCCAAACUCCUACGGGAGGCAGCAGUGGGGAAUCUUGCACAAUGGAGGAAACUCUGAUGCAGCGAUGCCGCGUGAGUGAAGAAGGCCCUUGGGUUGUAAAGCUCUUUCGUCGGGGAAGAAAAUGACUGUACCCGAAUAAGAAGGUCCGGCUAACUUCGUGCCAGCCGCCGCGGUAAUUC